Molecule: ribosomal RNA, 404 nt
Filed under: uncultured bacterium
Lineage: Bacteria
Description: partial 16S ribosomal RNA
Rfam family: Bacterial small subunit ribosomal RNA
Source: RNAcentral
GACGAACGCUGGCGGCGUGCCUAAUACAUGCAAGUCGAACGCAGUGGGGACGGGUGAGUAACACGUGGGUAACCUCCCAUCAGAGGGGAUAACACUUGGAAACAGGUGCUAAACCGAUACUGAUGGAUGGACCCGCGGUGCAUUAGCUAGUUGGUGAGGUAACGGCUCACCAAGGCCACGAUGCAUAGGCCGCCGGGAGGGGUGAUCGGCCCACCUGGGACUGGGAAACGGCCCAGAACCCUACGGGAGGCAGCAGUAGGGGAUCUUCGGCAAUUGACGAAAGUCUGGAUGAGCAACGCCGGGUGAGUGAAGAAGGGUUUCGGGUCUGAAAACUCUGUUGUUAGAGAAGCGGUAUCUAACCAGAAAGCCACGGCUAACUACGUGCCAGCAGCCCCGGGAAUACC